AUUUAUUGGGUUUAAAGGGUCCGUAGGCGGAUCUGUAAGUCAGUGGUGAAAUCUCAUAGCUUAACUAUGAAACUGCCAUUGAUACUGCAGGUCUUGAGUAAAUUUGAAGUGGCUGGAAUAAGUAGUGUAGCGGUGAAAUGCAUAGAUAUUACUUAGAACACCAAUUGCGAAGGCAGGUCACUAAGAUUUAACUGACGCUGAUGGACGAAAGCGUGGGGAGCGAUCAGGAUUAGAAACCCUAGUAGUCC
RNAcentral lists this ribosomal RNA (248 nucleotides) under Escherichia coli. RNAcentral describes it as "partial 16S ribosomal RNA". It matches the Rfam family "Bacterial small subunit ribosomal RNA", at positions 549 to 796 of the family's 1533-position model. Lineage: Bacteria; Pseudomonadati; Pseudomonadota; Gammaproteobacteria; Enterobacterales; Enterobacteriaceae. The record is from RNAcentral.